This 466-nucleotide ribosomal RNA is filed under the name uncultured Anaerolineaceae bacterium. RNAcentral describes it as "bacterial SSU rRNA". It matches the Rfam family "Bacterial small subunit ribosomal RNA", at positions 897 to 1382 of the family's 1533-position model. Lineage: Bacteria; Bacillati; Chloroflexota; Anaerolineae; Anaerolineales; Anaerolineaceae. The record is from RNAcentral.
AAACUCAAAGGAAUUGACGGGGACCCGCACAAGCAGCGGAGCGUGUGGUUAAUUCGAUGCUACACGAAGAACUUACCAGGUUUGACAUGCAAGUGGUAGGAAACUGAAAAGGACGACCCUUCGGGAGCUUGCACAGGUGCUGCAUGGCUGUCGUCAGCUCGUGUCGUGAGAUGUUCGGUUAAGUCCGCUAACGAGCGCAACCCUCACUGUGUGUUAUAUGUGUCACACGGGACUGCCGGUUUUAAGCCGGAGGAAGUGGGGAUGACGUCAAGUCAGCAUGGCCUUUAUAUCCUGGGCUACACACACGCUACAAUGGUCGGUACAAUAGGUUGCCAAGCCGCGAGGCGGAGCCAAUCCAAAAAAGCCGGCCUCAGUUCAGAUUGUAGGCUGCAACUCGCCUGCAUGAAGAUGGAGUUGCUAGUAACCGCAGGUCAGCAAUACUGCGGUGAAUACGUUCCCGGGUCUU